UGCCACACCGCGCGCGCAGCCACGCCCGAGCCUGAGCCGAUUUGCGCCUCUGUCCGACCCCGUGCUCCCCAGGGACACCACACGCGAGGAAAAGCCCUAGGGGAAACCUUCCGAAGCCCAUUCCCCAUCGCCCCUCGUCCACACGCGCCUGUCGGGCGUUUUGGAUCUCGCAGAGGAGGUCCAUCGACCACCGCUGUUCGCCGAUGUUUCCGCCACCCAGAGGGAGAGGAACAAGCCGGCCGACUUCACCUGAGUUCAUCGGAGUUCACGUCUUCUCCACCGCCGCUUGAGGACGCCCCGCCACCGUUGAGCACCACCACCGCCUCCGCCACUCACCUCCGCACCCGUCCGUCACCUCGCCUUCGCCGGAGACCCACCAGAGGAGCGUUGCCGCCAACGCCCAAGACCGCCAUCGUUUUCCUCUGUUUUGGAUUGUCCGGAGUGCGACGCGAGCUAUUGUCAGGAGUGUGACUUUCUGAACCAGAACCAAGGCAAGUUACAUGUUGAUCAUCCUUUACCUAUUGUUUUCUAUGCAUGUAGUUAUAUCACACUAUGAAUAUAUGCAUGUAUAGGAAUACUAUAUUAUUUUUGCUAUGCUGAUGAGCUAUCUU
Long non-coding RNA from Triticum aestivum (bread wheat), 611 nucleotides. RefSeq lists it as uncharacterized. The transcript has 3 exons. NCBI's taxonomy places the organism in Eukaryota, Viridiplantae, Streptophyta, Magnoliopsida, Poales, Poaceae. The record is from RefSeq and is a predicted model, not a curated record.